RNAcentral lists this long non-coding RNA (224 nucleotides) under Elaeis guineensis (African oil palm). Its description in RNAcentral is "long non-coding RNA (EGUI_LNC072020)". Lineage: Eukaryota; Viridiplantae; Streptophyta; Magnoliopsida; Arecales; Arecaceae. The record is from RNAcentral.
GGAGCCUUCUGGACAGGCGUGGUCAAGCUCGUCUCCUCCGCCCUGACCCUCUUUGCUGAGCCAGAGGCCGCGGCACCCUUUAUUUUGUGGGCCUUGAGGCCCCUGGCAAGCAUUCGUGCUGCUUCGACGUCCAUUCCUUAAAAAAAAAAAUCAAUCAAUCAAAAAUUAGAAGUCAAUAAUGAGGUGAAAAAGGAAGGAGUAGCAUGCAAAAAAAAAAAAAAAAA